CUAAUACAUGCAAGUCGAGCGCUUGGUGAGUUCCUUCGGAAAUCCCCCGGGAGCGGCGGACGGGUGAGUAACACGUAGGCAACCUGCCUGUAAGACCGGGAUAACUACCGGAAACGGUAGCUAAGACCGGAUAAGUGAUCUUCUCGCAUGAGAGGAUCAAGAAACACGGGGCAACCUGUGGCUUACAGAUGGGCCUGCGGGGCAUUAGCUAGUUGGUGGGGUAACGGCUCACCAAGGCGACGAUGCGUAGCCGACCUGAGAGGGUGAUCGGCCACACUGGGACUGAGACACGGCCCAGACUCCUACGGGAGGCAGCAGUAGGGAAUCUUCCGCAAUGGACGCAAGUCUGACGGAGCAACGCCGCGUGAGUGAUGAAGGUUUUCGGAUCGUAAAGCUCUGUUGCCAGGGAAGAACGUCGCG
This 420-nucleotide ribosomal RNA is filed under the name Bacillus sp. MG1. RNAcentral describes it as "bacterial SSU rRNA". It matches the Rfam family "Bacterial small subunit ribosomal RNA", at positions 48 to 456 of the family's 1533-position model. The record is from RNAcentral. Lineage: Bacteria; Bacillati; Bacillota; Bacilli; Caryophanales; Bacillaceae.